AGUCCACACAGUAAACGAUGAAUACUCGCUGUUUGCGAUAUACAGUAAGCGGCCAAGCGAAAGCAUUAAGUAUUCCACCUGGGGAGUACGCCGGCAACGGUGAAACUCAAAGGAAUUGACGGGGGCCCGCACAAGCGGAGGAACAUGUGGUUUAAUUCGAUGAUACGCGAGGAACCUUACCCGGGCUUAAAUUGCAGUGGAAUGAUGUGGAAACAUGUCAGUGAGCAAUCACCGCUGUGAAGGUGCUGCAUGGUUGUCGUCAGCUCGUGCCGUGAGGUGUCGGCUUAAGUGCCAUAACGAGCGCAACCCUUAUCUUCAGUUACUAACAGGUCAUGCUGAGGACUCUGGAGAGACUGCCGUCGUAAGAUGUGAGGAAGGUGGGGAUGACGUCAAAUCAGCACGGCCCUUACGUCCGGGGCUACACACGUGUUACAAUGGGGGGUACAGAAGGCAGCUAGCGGGUGACCGUAUGCUAAUCCCAAAAUCCUCUCUCAGUUCGGAUCGAAGUCUGCAACCCGACUUCGUGAAGCUGGAUUCGCUAGUAAUCGCGCAUCAGCCACGGCGCGGUGAAUACGUUCCCGGGCCUUGUACACACCGCCCGUCAAGCCAUGGGAGCCGGGGGUACCUGAAGUACGUAACCGCAAGGAUCGUCCUAGGGUAAAACUGGUGACUGGGGCUAAGUCGUAACAAGGUAGCCGUACCGGAAGGUGCGGCUG
RNAcentral lists this ribosomal RNA (716 nucleotides) under Bacteroides fragilis. Its description in RNAcentral is "bacterial SSU rRNA". It matches the Rfam family "Bacterial small subunit ribosomal RNA", at positions 792 to 1520 of the family's 1533-position model. Lineage: Bacteria; Pseudomonadati; Bacteroidota; Bacteroidia; Bacteroidales; Bacteroidaceae. The record is from RNAcentral.